This is a long non-coding RNA of Pogoniulus pusillus (Red-fronted tinkerbird), 995 nucleotides long. RefSeq lists it as uncharacterized. The transcript is spliced from 3 exons. Lineage: Eukaryota; Metazoa; Chordata; Aves; Piciformes; Lybiidae. The record is from RefSeq and is a predicted model, not a curated record.
ACGUGUGGAAGCCCUGGCCCCCAAGAACCCUAUUUUUCCCACCAUGCAUUUGGAUUGCACUGCCAGAACCAGCUCGUAACCUUUCACUAGGGUGUAAUUACCUGAGCCCAGUGAGCACUGUCAAGUGGCCCCUCUCCAUGGAAGCAGCAUGAAGAUUCUUUCAAACUCUGGCACCUUGCCUCCUUCUAAUGGCCUCACUCCUUCCCCAGUGGAAGCAAGAAGCAUUCUGUAAGUGUUCAUCCUCAGACAGCACAGAGAAGAAUCAGAAACAAAGCCCGAGGAUGCCUCGCCUCUGCUAAAAAGCCUCAGGUGUCUCAGCCUCUCCCUGUAAGAGAGAUGCUCCAGUCCCCUAAUCAUCUUUGUGGCUUCCCUGUCUCUUUUGAACUGGGAAGCUCAGAAGUGGACAACAGUAAUCCAGAUAGGACUUCAAUAUGCACAUGAGAGCAGCUUUGAGGGAUUUGCCAGAGACCCGUGACACCACUCACUGCAUGCUUAUGGCAAGACAACGGGAACAAGGUGAUUGCAAAGCCUUGUGAUCCAGAGUAAAGGUAAAAUGAUCCAGCAACAAGAGGGCCUGUAAAUGGAGGGAGAACCCACAACAGCAGUAGAAUGAUACCAGAGCUGCUACUUGCCUCUGAACCAUAACAACAUGAUAUUCUCUUAUGUAAGAAAACAAUUUGCACAGCUAAUGAUUCUGCCUAUCAUGCCUUUAAUAAAAGUGCAAUAACAAAACCUGUGGGUGUACUAUAAAUGGAAGGCAUACUACCCCCUCAUAGUCUUCAGCAAAAUCCACACAAAAAGCAAAGUUCUGCUCAGUUUUGCAGGAGUUGAGGAGAAGCAAUAAUGUUUUAUACUGUGAACACAAUGGAAUUCUUAAACCCAACAUAAACAUGUUCUUUUUACUCCAGAAGUCUUGUUUCACACUUUCAGCUCAACUUCUCUGCUAAUUUGACCUGCUGGCAUCACAUGUGAAACAGCAGCAUUUUCCCUGUGAA